Molecule: ribosomal RNA, 925 nt
Filed under: Bifidobacterium longum
Lineage: Bacteria; Bacillati; Actinomycetota; Actinomycetes; Bifidobacteriales; Bifidobacteriaceae
Description: bacterial SSU rRNA
Rfam family: Bacterial small subunit ribosomal RNA
Source: RNAcentral
GGAUGAACGCUGGCGGCGUGCUUAACACAUGCAAGUCGAACGGGAUCCAUCAAGCUUGCUUGGUGGUGAGAGUGGCGAACGGGUGAGUAAUGCGUGACCGACCUGCCCCAUACACCGGAAUAGCUCCUGGAAACGGGUGGUAAUGCCGGAUGCUCCAGUUGAUCGCAUGGUCUUCUGGGAAAGCUUUCGCGGUAUGGGAUGGGGUCGCGUCCUAUCAGCUUGACGGCGGGGUAACGGCCCACCGUGGCUUCGACGGGUAGCCGGCCUGAGAGGGCGACCGGCCACAUUGGGACUGAGAUACGGCCCAGACUCCUACGGGAGGCAGCAGUGGGGAAUAUUGCACAAUGGGCGCAAGCCUGAUGCAGCGACGCCGCGUGAGGGAUGGAGGCCUUCGGGUUGUAAACCUCUUUUAUCGGGGAGCAAGCGAGAGUGAGUUUACCCGUUGAAUAAGCACCGGCUAACUACGUGCCAGCAGCCGCGGUAAUACGUAGGGUGCAAGCGUUAUCCGGAAUUAUUGGGCGUAAAGGGCUCGUAGGCGGUUCGUCGCGUCCGGUGUGAAAGUCCAUCGCUUAACGGUGGAUCCGCGCCGGGUACGGGCGGGCUUGAGUGCGGUAGGGGAGACUGGAAUUCCCGGUGUAACGGUGGAAUGUGUAGAUAUCGGGAAGAACACCAAUGGCGAAGGCAGGUCUCUGGGCCGUUACUGACGCUGAGGAGCGAAAGCGUGGGGAGCGAACAGGAUUAGAUACCCUGGUAGUCCACGCCGUAAACGGUGGAUGCUGGAUGUGGGGCCCGUUCCACGGGUUCCGUGUCGGAGCUAACGCGUUAAGCAUCCCGCCUGGGGAGUACGGCCGCAAGGCUAAAACUCAAAGAAAUUGACGGGGGCCCGCACAAGCGGCGGAGCAUGCGGAUUAAUUCGAUGCAACGC